This 253-nucleotide ribosomal RNA is filed under the name uncultured bacterium. Its description in RNAcentral is "partial 16S ribosomal RNA". It matches the Rfam family "Bacterial small subunit ribosomal RNA", at positions 524 to 776 of the family's 1533-position model. The record is from RNAcentral.
UACGAAGGGGACUAGCGUUGCUCGGAAUGACUGGGCGUAAAGGGCGCGUAGGCGGACGGCUUUGUCGGGCGUGAAAUUCCAGGGCUUAACCUUGGGUAUGCGUUCGAGACGGGUUGUCUUGAGUUUGGAAGAGGGUCGUGGAAUUCCCAGUGUAGAGGUGAAAUUCGUAGAUAUUGGGAAGAACACCGGUGGCGAAGGCGGCGACCUGGUCCAAGACUGACGCUGAGGCGCGAAAGCGUGGGGAGCAAACAGG